GACACGAUGGCCGAGUGGUCUAAGGCGAAGGUUUUAAGUUCGGCUUGUCUCAUGGCAUUACUUUCACCUUUACAGAAAUGUGCGUGGGUUCGAACCCCACUCGUGUCA
Molecule: non-coding RNA, 108 nt
Organism: Melanomma pulvis-pyrius CBS 109.77
Lineage: Eukaryota; Fungi; Ascomycota; Dothideomycetes; Pleosporales; Melanommataceae
Source: the annotation of a GenBank genome assembly